GAUGAACGCUGGCGGCGUGCCUAAUACAUGCAAGUCGAGCGAACGGACGAGAAGCUUGCUUUUCUGAUGUUAGCGGCGGACGGGUGAGUAACACGUGGAUAACCUACCUAUAAGACUGGGAUAACUUCGGGAAACCGGAGCUAAUACCGGAUAAUAUUUUGAACCGCAUGGUUCAAAAGUGAAAGACGGUCUUGCUGUCACUUAUAGAUGGAUCCGCGCUGCAUUAGCUAGUUGGUAAGGUAACGGCUUACCAAGGCAACGAUGCAUAGCCGACCUGAGAGGGUGAUCGGCCACACUGGAACUGAGACAGGGUCCAGACUCCUACGGGAGGCACCAGUAGGGAAUCUUCCGCAAUGGGCGAAAGCCUGACGGAGCAACGCCGCGUGAGUGAUGAAGGUCUUCGGAUCGUAAAACUCUGUUAUUAGGGAAGAACAUAUGUGUAAGUAACUGUGCACAUCUUGACGGUACCUAAUCAGAAAGCCACGGCUAACUACGUG
RNAcentral lists this ribosomal RNA (497 nucleotides) under uncultured bacterium. RNAcentral's name for it is "partial 16S ribosomal RNA". It matches the Rfam family "Bacterial small subunit ribosomal RNA", at positions 28 to 507 of the family's 1533-position model. The record is from RNAcentral.